This 576-nucleotide ribosomal RNA is filed under the name uncultured Haloarcula sp. Its description in RNAcentral is "bacterial SSU rRNA". It matches the Rfam family "Archaeal small subunit ribosomal RNA", at positions 52 to 629 of the family's 1478-position model. Lineage: Archaea; Methanobacteriati; Methanobacteriota; Halobacteria; Halobacteriales; Haloarculaceae. The record is from RNAcentral.
UGCUAGUUGCACGAGUUUAGACUCGUAGCAUAUAGCUCAGUAACACGUGGCCAAACUACCCUACAGACCGCGAUAACCUCGGGAAACUGAGGCCAAUAGCGGAUAUAACUCUCAUGCUGGAGUGCCGAGAGUUAGAAACGUUCCGGCGCUGUAGGAUGUGGCUGCGGCCGAUUAGGUAGAUGGUGGGGUAACGGCCCACCAUGCCGAUAAUCGGUACAGGUUGUGAGAGCAAGAGCCUGGAGACGGUAUCUGAGACAAGAUACCGGGCCCUACGGGGCGCAGCAGGCGCGAAACCUUUACACUGCACGACAGUGCGAUAGGGGGACUCCGAGUGUGAGGGCAUAUAGCCCUCGCUUUUCUGUACCGUAAGGUGGUACAGGAACAAGGACUGGGCAAGACCGGUGCCAGCCGCCGCGGUAAUACCGGCAGUCCAAGUGAUGGCCGAUAUUAUUGGGCCUAAAGCGUCCGUAGCUUGCUGUGUAAGUCCAUUGGGAAAUCGACCAGCUCAACUGGUCGGCGUCCGGUGGAAACUACACAGCUUGGGGCCGAGAGACUCAACGGGUACGUCCGGGGUAG